Vicugna pacos (alpaca) is the source of this 923-nucleotide non-coding RNA. NCBI's taxonomy places the organism in Eukaryota, Metazoa, Chordata, Mammalia, Artiodactyla, Camelidae. The record is from RefSeq and is a predicted model, not a curated record.
AGAAGGGAACUAUUGUGUAGAAAGAAUGCCCAAAUGAUGAAGAAAGAACAUAUUUGCUCACUCUUAUUAAGGUAAUUGAGAAGUAAACCCUGUGUUGGCUGUUUUCUAUCAGGGAAAACAAAGUGAAAGAGACUGAGAAGGGAGAAAACUAACAGCACACUCUUCCGUCAGUAAGCGUGUUUACCAACCUUUCAGCAUCAGCUCAAGCAUGCUGAGGGUUUGUUCAUUCCAGUGUUAUGACUGGUCUCCUGACUCAGCCUCCCUGCACUCUGACCUGAUUUCCUCUCUGGCCGGCUCAUCUUCUCUCCUGAUCCUGGGCUCGUCUCCAACUUGGUAACAAACGUCACUUUUUGGAUAAUCCUUUUGUUUGUUGGCCUGGUUUUGACAUUCUGUAAGACAAUAUAUUAGCAAAUACCUGAACUUUGCCAAAUGUUUUCUAAUCCAGUUGCUUCCUACAGCCAGUUGCUUGCCUAAAGCAUUGAUCUUGAUAGUACCCUAUGCACAUCUGAUGCAGCCAGGGACUCAGGAGCAGUCGGAGAUCAGUUCAGGCCAUUACUGAUGGAACAGAAACCCCUUCUUUGCUGCAGCUGCAUGGUCCUCAGCCACUCAGCUUUUGCCCACUUUGGUCUCUGCCACACUUUUCUAUGCCCUAAAAAUGUCUUCCUAUAAGCCCUCAUUUGCAAGAAGGAGCCUUCCUUUUCAGCAGCAAAAAUCCGCUUGACCAAAGUUCCAGCUUCACCUAGGAAUCUGAAGGGCUAUUUCCUUUUAAAUCAAGAAAAAUUCACACUAUUAAUAAAAAUAAUAGCUACCACUUAUUAAGUGCUUCCUAAGUGCCAGACACCAUGCUAAGCGCUUCAUCUGUGUGAACUCACUCAAUCAUCACAACAACCACAUGAGGUAAGUACUAUUAUUAUCUCCAUUUU